AGAUAAACUUAAAACAGACUAAAACACAUACCAACAUUCUACAUAUCUGGAUAGGCCUGUAUAAACAGAAAUGUUGUUAGCAGGUGUUGAAAAGAGUACAGUGAAGGUACCUGUCUGGUAUCAAUAGGCAGGGAGUUCCAAAGUCUACGUGCUGCCACCAUAAAAUAUCAGUUUCUUACAAAUGUCAAACAGGGAUUAGGUGGCACCUAUAGCAGUGCCAGUUCCACAAAUCAAACUGGUCUAGUGGGCAUAUACAGGUAAACUGGUCCCAAGUUGUUAAAAGCUUUAUAUGAUUCUGCAGUAGAUGAUACUACUAAUCAUUUACUUAGUUACUUUAUACCCCAAAGAAAUCUUUUAAAAAUCUCUUUAAAAUCACUCAAAAAUCCCAACAAAAAAUAAUAAUAUAAGAGAUACAAUAUAAAUUACACAGUCAAAACCAAACAAUACAACUAUUACCACCACUACCACUUCCUCAUUAUAAGUAACAUAAUUAAAUAAAUACCUCAAAAUAAUGUACAUGAAUAAAAGAACUAUUAUCCACAAAAAAAUAAGAUGUUAAAAAUAUAUAGACACCUCAAAAUGCAACCUAAAUACUAUAUAUCAUAAAAUUUCAUGUUUACUACAAAAAUAUUUACUAUACAUAAUAUAAUCGAUAAAUCAGUCACCUACAUAUUGGCAGUGCACAAAACUAAUUCUCACAUACCCAAUUAUUGAACAAUAUCCUUCCACCAAUCACAUCAUUGUGUAUGUACGCGUACUCUCGAUUUCUUUUCAUGGUGGGAUGUCUAAAGAUUUGUUUAAAGAUGACACCUUGAUUUUAAUGAAGUGCUUUCCAGGGGUAUUUUUUUUUCAAUGAAAUGUUUCCCUCUGAUGAGCAAUUUGGAAUAAAUAAAUCCAUACUUGUAUCAAUACUGAAAAUAAAGCCCUUUUAUUAACCCUGCGGAUUUAUUAGACACACAUAGUUAAGUAUUAGAAAGAACUUUUGACACAAAGGUUUAGGAUCAUUAGACAGGUCAAUGCAACCCUCAGUAGUAAAUCAGUGCAAGGCAGACUCAGCUAACGAUUUCCACCAGGCAAUUUGUUUAUCAAUCAUUAUAAAUCUUUGUUUAAGAAAAAACAACAACACACAGAAUAAGGAAAUAGGAAAAGCGUGCUCAUUUACGGCCAUCUCCAAAUUUUAUCAGACACUUCCUUCUCUCUUUCUCUGAAUAUCCACAGUGUAAAAUAUACAUUUUGUAUUUCACUCAAAUGUAGCUAAUGCUCUACAGACCUCCAUCCUGAUUUCCUGAGCAGUGAGUUCCAUCGUCAAUGGAUGGUGGUGAUGAUGAUGAUCACCAUUAUUUAUACAACACCUAAAAUGUUGAAAGGGCUUCACAUUUCUUAGUAUUAUUUGAAUGGGAUGUGUAGCUUUAUGCUCUCCCCCCCCCCCCGGGAUGCUGGGAUUUAAAUUCCCUGUCCAGUUGCCAGCAUGAAAAGUCAUUCCCCCCAGUAUAUGGAACACAUCAAACCACAACCACCACUUCUGCCUUCUCUCUGCCCAUAAGUAAGUUUCUCAGGUGCCUUGGGCAGAAGAAAAGGAAGUCCAGCUUCUUGAAUACCCUGUAAAAAAAACACCUUGAACCCUUUCAGGAUAAGACAAGGCUUAAAAAGCAUGGAUCUCUGCAGUAGCAUCCAGGACUAUUAGGAAUCAGAUUUCCCAUGAUCCCUGACUUCCAUAGAUCUUGCUGCAUCCAGAGUUUCAAUCCCGAAGCCUCCUGCAAGGUCUUUCUACAACAAUCCCUCACCUCAACAACAAUUGCACUCCUCUAUUUGAGGUUUCUAAACAACAGUUUCUAAAGGGACGUGGGUGGCGCUGUGGGUUAAACCACAGAGCCUAGGGCUUGCCGAUCAGAAGGUCGGUGGUUUGAAUCUCUGCGACGAGGUGAGCUCUCAUUGCUCGGUCCCUGCUCUUGCCAACCUAGCAGUUCGAAAGCACAUCUAAGUGCAAGUAGAUAAAUAGGCACCGCUCCGGCGGGAAGGUAAACGGCGUUUCCAUGCACUGCUCUGGUUCGCCAGAAGCGGCUUAGUUAUGCUGGCCACAUGACCCGGAAGCUGUACACCAGCUCCCUUGGCCAAUAAAGCAAGAUGAGCGGCGCAACCCCAGAGUUGGUCACGACUGGACCUAAUGGUCAGGGGUCCCUUUACCUUUACCUUUAAACAAAGCCUGGAUGGUAAUCUGUCAGGGAUUCUUAAACUGUGAUUCCUGCAUUGCAGGUAGGUUGGAAUAGAUGGCUCUUGGGUUCCAUUCCAGCUAUGAUUCUAUAACUCAUGCUUGCCAACUCUAUGUUAGGCAAUCAGAAUCAAAGGUACGUGUAUUUUUUUUACCUGUUAAGAAAUUUCUCACAGAAGAACAGUAGCAGCUCCAAAAUAUUAAUUAAAUUCAAUCGUAUUGUGUGAAGAUGUCUCAGUGACAUCAUGGGGUUAAAUGACAGAAAAACACACAUGGAGGUCAAGGUUUAAAGCCAUCUAAAAAAAUGAAGAAGUGAAGUCCUUCUGUCUAGGAUCAACACAGGGCCCAGGUACCCUUGGUGAUUACAGUGACUAAUAGAGCAUUUGGAAGAGUCAUUUGCCCUUUGCUUGCCUUUGCGAACUUAGCUGGAAAAUAAAGUGAAAGAGCCAGCUGGAAAACAGAAGAUUUAUAUGAAAAGUACUUUCCUGAGUGUAUACCUUACAAUGUGUCAAACCCAUAAAUUUUACUAAUACAGGCACAAUCGAUAGAGAUUUAAAAGCUUUGGUUGGGUUUAUUCCCCCUAGCGCUAUGUUGCAGGCUCAUCACACGUUCUGGAGAACCGAAUUUCUGAGUUUUGUAGAAGGCGCAUGGAAAUGAAUAAACAUUAAACUUUCCAAGAGUCCCACUUCCACUACAAUUCAUCACAGGUUGUUGUAGUGGUACUGUAGUAGUAAUUUUAUUAUUAGCAAUAGAAAAACAAAUCCCACUGCAUUGUGGUAAAAACAAUGGUUAUAUAAUCCCAGCCAAUGGCAUUCAAAUCUUAUCAAUAGUGGAUGUGAUGUAAUUGUUUUAGUACUGGGCUUCUUCAAUUUAUUUAAUUAUGCAGCAAUUGAAUCCCACUUGACUUGUCUCAAAAUGGGCACACAUUGUACCCCUCCAAGCUCCCUAGAGGAAGAGCAGGACACAAAUAAACAAGUGCCAUGUUGAAUUUCAUGUGUUUAGAUUUGGUUGUUAAAAUCUGCAUAUCUGACAAUGGUGAAUCAUUUGCUAAACAUUACCAUAAAUUAAACACACCAAAAGGAGCGUUCUGUCUGUUUUUCUUUGUAUCCUGUGUAGACCAGACCUUGUUAAAAGGGGGCUGUACAUUCCCACACACCACCCAGGGCUGGUUUUCCAUGAGGAAACCACUGUUAGCCAUAUUUUGGCAGGUGAUAUACAGGGGAGGCUCACAAUCCAUUGUGCACCCAUGUACAACAUACAACAACAGCCUUCAUAUCCAUUAAGUCAUUAGGGUUAUAUUUUAAGCACUGGUGCUGUGGUAUGCAUGAUUUGCGUAACCAGUGUCUUCCCUGCUUUGCGGAUGACUUCUUGAAUUUUCACGAAUGCUUUCGUGUGCAUUAUGCUAAAGUAGAAACAGACACGAUACCCUGGAAGUCUCAUUACCUGAAACCAUUUGGGUUCGAAAAGCCAAACACAUAUAGACUCGCACACAUCAGAUUUCUUGACCAGGGCAAGAAAACUACUUCUAUUUUGCUGCUUUUCAGAACCUUUUGCAUAACAAAAAAAGCCCCCAUACAAAAUAGAUCUGCUGAGAUCUGGGGUGUUUUUAUAACGAAGCCUGGUGUUAACACUCUGUCUCUCAGACACCAUUUCACCAUCACUCUGUAUUGUUUUCUAAUCAAAAGGGUCACCAAAGCACUGACUCUGAACAGUGCAAAUGUGCAGCUAUUUCCCCUCCUAUCUGACAGCACAUCUAUAGAUUGCUUAGACAGGCUGACAGGAUACAGGGCUAAUGACACAUGAAACAUGCGAAAUCUUGGAUGGAUUAUACAGUAAAAUUUCAAAUAAUCCCAUAAGGAUUCUGCUUAAUUUGAAGUCAGCUGUCAGGUAGUUAAGCUUCCUGUUUUAGCUUUUAAGACAAAAGGCUACAGAGAUCUUUAUUCUGUCUCGUCACACACACACACACGCCCCAAGAGUUUUCUCUCUCUCCUCUACCACCCUAUUUGUUCUCCUACUAGCACAUUGUAGAUGCAAAAGAUAUUGGUCAAGAGAAUGAGGAAAGUAUAGUAGCAUCAAAGGGGGCUCAGUUAGAUAAAUGGACAUCUGUGACAGAUAGCUCUUUGACACUGGAGUCACUAAACCUUGCACGCCUUUCUCACGGGAAUGAUCUGCAACUAUUACAGUAUCUCUAAUGCAUCUACGAACAUGCAGCUUGAGACUCAUUCACAGUCUGAAACCAGAUCACAUUUUACAGUGAAAAGACGAGGUCUUGAAUGGCAUGGAGUCCCAGAUUGGUUUUUCUUAUCACAGUUCUUCAAUAGCAUUAAUCAGCUGUUUUAUUUAUUAAAGGUUCAAUCUUUGGCCUCCGUGAAUAGUUGGUCGUUGUUUCCCUUCUGCUUUGUGCAACCUGCUCCUACCAAGGUCAACACUAAUUUUCAAACAAAUCCUUCCUGGCAAAAGUGUCUCCUAAACUCUGGGAACAAAUUUCAUAGAUAUCUGUUUUUGAGAGCAUCAAGAGCAUAUGAACAAGCUGAGACAUUAUUAGCCACUUCCCCCCAAAUUAGAAUUCCCUUCAUUUGAGAUUAAGAGUCCAAAGCAGCCCCCUUGCUAAAUAUUUUACAUCUGUGCCUUCUUCCAGAGGAGUUUAACACAGUUUUUUCAAUAUAUAUUUUCAAUCACAUUUAAAAUAAAUUUAAAUGCCACUUUUAAAAUAAAGAAAUUGGGAAUGGAAGAAGGCUUAUCAUCAGUUAGGAAUAUUUGAAGAUGCCAUUGUUCCACCUAGCAUAGCAUUGUUUACCUUGACUGGCAAUGGCUUUCCAGGGUUUCAGACAAGAAUUUUCCCCAGGUCUUCCUUAAGAUGCCGGGUAUUGAAUCUAGAGCUUUUGCUUGCAAAGCAUAUUGCAUUAGCUGAGAUCCUACUCUUGUCUUUCAAGCAUACAGUAUCUCCCAACAUCUCUGUUAUGUCAGUGAGCAGAGUACGGUUUCCACUAAUGCACAUCCUUUGCGAGGAAAAAAAGGUUGGAAGCUAGAAGACAAGCAAGACCACAUGAAUAUCUCCCAAUGUCUCUGUUAUAUCCAGUGCUUUUCUUCUAGGAAAAAAGAGAUACCAGUACUGUGGGUACCCUUGAGUACCCCAGAAAAAAGGCACUGGUUAUAUCACAGAGGUACCUGUUUCUGCUGAAGACACCGGUGUGGCCUCCCUUGUCUUCUAGCUUACAAUCCCAGCUAAGAGUCUUGUGGAGUGGAGACAGCAGUGGUUAUUUCAGGGAGUGUUCAGGACGGAGAGGGACAUCCUCCAAAUUAAUCUUAGUCCAGAUGAACAGAUAUUGUAGAGGUGAACAAUCAUAUUUAAAAUUAACCCUUGGUCUAAAGCUCCAGGGAAAAUGGGUUAUGGUCCUCUCAAAGCAUUUGGUGAACAAUGGGUUAUGGAACCUUAUGGUAAUGUUAGUUAUAUUUGGCCCUGAAAACAAAACAGCUAUCACUAGUGGCAGCAUAGAUAUUAAUUAACUCUAAUAUUAUAAGCAGUUAAAAGAUUGGCAUAGCAAUUGGUACUUUUUACAGGCAACCAGACCCUUUGAAUGUAAAUAUAUCUACUUUUUUCUGGAUCAUUUAUUUGACUGAUAUAUACACAUAUAUACCGAUAAUAGGCCCAAGCUACCUUAUUUCAUGCUUCCAGAGCAUUCUGACAAAUGCAGAAGACAUGGUCUCAAUGUCUUAAGGAUGUGCUUCAAAACGGAUUAUUGAUAUUUCAUCCCACAGCUCUCUUGGUGGGUAUUGAGUAUCAGCCGCCUCGAAGGUUGGCGCCAAGCUUCUUCUUCUGUGCACCACAAACCAGAAUUAAUUGCAAAUCAAUCGAACAAAGUACAACUGAUCAGUAAACCAAUUAGUAAUUUUAGCUGUUCAUCCUGUCUUCAUUUACUGAGGGGAAAGAGGUGGGGAGAGGAGAGGUGAUUUCUAGCUAGCAUUUCUUUCUUGCUAACUGUGUCCUUGUAAAAAUUAAAAUUAAAGAGCCAUUCAUGGAGAGCUGAAUGUCAUAGCUGUUUCACAUCUUACAUAUUUCUUUGUUCCAUUUUUUAUUGCAUUUUGAAAGAAAAUCCAAAAUAAAGCCGAAGUACAUAAUCUUUUUUUCUUUUUUCUUUUGACACUUCUAGUUAUCACUGAAUUUUGUCAAAAUAUAAUAGGGGCAUGGAAGAUUCUUGCUAGGAUGGCACCAAAUUCAAAAAGAAAAAUUUCCAGGCAUUUCAUCCAUCUUGAAAUUACUAUUUCUAUUUUUGCUAAGCUUCCAUAGGUGAGGUGAAAUUAUUUGGUGGUUAAAGAGGAUCAGAGUGGCUUUUGUGAAGAAACCCCAUUCUGGGAUGUUUUCUGAAUUUUGGGGAAAUCAGAAUGACAGCUGCCAUUAAAAAUGGCUGUGUCCUUGGGCACCCACUGCUGAGUAUAAUGCACAGCAUAAUAAUAUGAGAAAGGCCCUGCUAGAACAGACCAAAUGCCCAUCUGGCCUAGCAUUGUGUUUUCGCAGUGGCCAAACAAAUGUGUAUGGGAAGCCUGGAAGCAGAAGACAGCCAUCUUGCAGCCUGAGAGGUGAUAUGAUAGCCAGAACCAAUGGAUUUAAAUUACAAGAAGGUAGAUUCUAAUUAAACAAUAGGAAGUACAGUGGUGCCUCGCAAGACGAAAUUAAUUCGUUCCGCAAGUCUCUUCGUCUUGCGAGUUUUUCGUCUUGCGAUGCACGGUUUCCCAUAGGAAUGCAUUGAAAAUCAAUUAAUGCGUUCCUAGGAAACCGCCUUCAGACCAGGUCCGGGGACAGUCUGUCCCCGGACCUCUUCUGAAGGCUGGGGGGCAAGGGCUUUUCUUCCCACCCCCAGCAUUUUAAAACCCCGGGACAGCGGAGGACUUCUCCGCUGUCCGGGCGAUCUUAAAAUGCUGGCGGGCGGCAUUUAAAAUCACCCCGGGACAGCGGAGGACUUCUCCGCUGUCCGGGGCAAUUUAAAAGCCCCUGGGAAGGCAGGCAGGGGGACAAAGACUUUGCCCCCGCCAGCCUUCAGAAGAGGUCCUGGACCUCUUCUGAAGGCGGGCGGGGGCGAAAGUCUUUGCUCCCCCGCCUUCAAAAGCCCUCCGGGACAGGCAGGCAGGGGGAGCAAAGACUUCGCCCCCGCCCGCCUUCAGAAGGUCUUCCUCCCCCCGCCCGGCUCGGAGCACCGCUCCGGGCCGGGCGGCGGCGGGAGGUGUUCCCUCCCCCGCCCCGGCUCGGAGCACCGUUCCGGCCGGGCAGAGGCGGGAGGUCUUCCCUCCCCCGCCCGGCCUCGGAGCACCGUUCCGGGCCGGGCGGCAGCGGAGGUGUUCCCUCCCCCGCCCGGCUUCGGAGCACCGUUCCGAGCCGGGCGGCGGCGGGAGGUGUUCCCUCCCCGCCCGGCUCGGAGCACCGUCCCGAGCCGGGCGGCGGCAGCAGGUGUUCCCUCCCCCGCCCGGCUUCGGAGGAGCCUUCCGAGCCCGGCGGCGGCGGGAGGAGGUGUCCCCGCCCGCCGCCAGGCUUCGGAGGAGGUCCGAGGACAGUGGGAAGACGCGCUGCGCUUCCCGCUGUCCCUGAGAUUUCCCUAUGGGCUGUCGUCUUGCGAAGCAAGCCCAUAGGGAAAUUCGUUUUGCGAAGCGCCUCCAAAACGGAAAACCCUUUCGUCUAGCGGGUUUUCCGUCUUGCGAGGCGUUCGUCUUGCGGGGUACCACUGUACUUUCUGACAGUAAGAGCUAUUCAGCAGACUCUUCUUCACUGGAUAUUUUUAAACAGAGGUUAGAUAGCCAUCUGUGAUCAGUUGCAUAGCAUGGCUUGCCAGUAGCUGGGGCCACAUGGAGGAGGGGUGGGAAAGAAGGAAAUAGAUGGACACACGUACAUUCAACUGCCUACCAGUGUGAGCCAGUGUCGUGUAGUGGUUAAGAGCGGUAGUCUCGUAAUCUGGGGAACCGGGUUCGCGUCUCCGCUCCUCCACAUGCAGCUGCUGGGUGACCUUGGGCCAGUCACGCUUCUUUGAAGUCUCUCAGCCCCACUCACCUCACAGAGUGUUUGUUGUGGGGGAGGAAGGGAAAGGAGAAUGUUAGCCGCUUUGAGAUUCCUUAAAGGGAGUGAAAGGCGGGAUAUCAAAUCCAAACUCUUCUCUUCUUCUUCUUCUUCUACCAAUGUCUGCAUCACCCAGGAGCUUGCAGCUGCAGAGAUCUGCCCAGACACUGAGGUCCAGCACCGAGGGCCUUCUGGCAGUUCCCUCACUGUGAGAAGCAAAGUUACAGGGAAUCAGACAGAGGGCCUUCGUGGUAGUGGCGCCUGCCCUGUGGAACACCCUCCCAGCAGAUGUCAAAGUAAUAAACAACUAUCGGACCUUUAGGAGACAUAUGAAGGCAGCCCUGUUUAGGGAAGCGUUUAAUAUUUGAUGAAUCAUUGUAUUUUAAUAUUCUGCUGGAAGCCACCCAGAGAGGCUGGGGAAACCCAGCCAGAUGGGCGGGGUAUAAAUAAUAAAUUGUUAUUAUUAUUAGAAAAGAAAAAUUGUUCCAUUGUUUGGAGAGGCUACUUACUGGUUCGCAUGGGGAAGUCAUUUUCAGUGGAGCCCUAUGACAGAAGUGUGCCACUGUAUUGAGGCAGCACUGGGUGUUAACAUUUUGCAUCCCUAACACUUUUGGGCCCAUGUGGACCACCAUGCUACAUCACUGAUUCUGCAUUGCUGAGUGUUUGACUAGGUGACCCUUGAUGUCCCUUCCAACUCUACAAUUCUGUGAUUCUAUGAAAGGCAUGUUAAAAAUGGUCAGAUCCAUUUGGACGGUUAAUAGACACAAAAAUAUAGUAUAAACACUGACAACUGGGAAACACUGGUCUGCGAGCACUCCAGCUGGAGAACAGCCUUUACCAAAGGUGUCAUGGACUUUGAAGACACUCAAACUCAGGACGCAAGGGAGAAAUGUGCUAAGAGGAAGGCACGCUUGGCAAAUCCACACUGUGAUCAACUCCCGCCCAGAAACCAAUGUCCCCACUGUGGAAGCAUGUGUGUAUCCAGAAUUGGCCUCCAUAGUCACUUAUGGACUCAUUGAUCGCCCAAAAAGAAGACACACGGACUGUAUUGAACAGUAAUGUAUACUAAUAUAAGCUGAUAUCGCCCUGUUGAAAUCUUCACACAUAAAAUGAAUACACGAAGAAGUGGGUGUUGGUGGGUGAGACUGCAUUGCUGACAAGUUGAGCUUAAGUCCUGGGCCACAUUUCUCCGUUAUAUGGAGAAGAUCUAAACAAAGCCUUUCUUUUCUCUGAAUCAGGGAGUGGAAAAUACGUUACGAUGUUAAUCACAGGCAUCAAAUAUAAUUUCAGCUCAUCAAAUUCUUUGGCAUUCCUUGGUCCACUGCUCUAUUGUAUUUUAAUGUGUUUAUCACUUGUUUUCUUAGAGCAUUUUUGCGAACGUUUUCAUCAUUCAAACAUGUGUGCGUGUGUCUGAAAUUUUAGACGUUCUUUGGGCUACCGGCGUACUUUGGCUUUCAUCGUAAAGAAACCCGAGACACUCAAAAUUGUCAGUAAUAACUGAUAAAUAAUACGUUCCUGCUAAUGAUUUAGUGGGGAAAAGAUCCUUUAGCACAAAGCAAUCUCCCGCUUGCAGGCGUAAAAGCUGGAUGCCCAAACUGUGACUGACUGCAGCAGCAGCGGUCACCAGGUGAUUGAAAUUAACAGUUUUCUUUCAAUUGUUCUAAUUGAGUCCAACGGGAGUUCUGGAAUUCACUAAAAAGUAGCUCAAGUUGCUGUCUUCUCUAGGCUCCGGUGACUCUGACUUUCACCUUCCACACUCAGUUUAGUCUAACUUGAAAACAUCGUUUUAAAACAUGCUCUCAUAUGGAUACAACCUCAAAGAGAAAUCUCUGCAUUAGUGGCGAUGAGUAGGGACCAAUCUUACAUUGGAUAUCUUACACUGUUGUUCACCUCACAAUGCAGAGAGUUUAGAACACUUCUUAUCAGAUAUUUCUUAUCAUAUGAACCAAAUUUUUAAGGAAUUGCUAACAGAUGCAGCCCACCACCUUUUCUUAUCACAUAUAAGCCCUGUGCAGGUGUUACUUGCCUGAAGAGUGCAAAUGUAGUCAAAGGGAUUGCAGAGUCAUAUAGUCUAGCUUCCUGGCUGCCACAUCAUUGCCAUCCUAGGCUCCUUUGGGAAGAAGGGCAGGAUUUUAUUUCUUUCUUUCAUAUACCACCCUAUACCCGGAGGUUCACAGAAAAGAUCACAAAAGAUAAAAUUAAAAUAAAAACAAUAACCCAAUAACAUGCCCCCUCAAAAGAGCCACAUUUUAAAAGGGUAUAGGAUGUCAAUCAAGUCAACCAAAGGCCUGGUUAAAAAGGAACGUUUUUGCCUGCCACUUAAAGGUAUAUAAUGAAGGCGCCAGGCAAAAUUCCCUGGGGAGAGCAUUCCACAGACCGGGAGCCACUGCAGAAAAGGCCCGCUUUUGUGUUGCCACUGUCCGAACCUCUCGAGGAGGAGGCACACAAAGAAGGGCCUCAGAAGAUGAUCUCAGGGUCCGAGCAGAUCCAUAUGGAAAGAGGCGGUCCUUGAGGUAUUGUGGUCCUGAGCCAUUAUAAUUGAAAAAAUAAAUUUAUUCAUUGGUAGGCAGACAGGGAAGCAUGAGGCACUGUGAGCACAACAGCUGUAAACUGGAUUUACAUCACCCCUCCCAGUAAGCAGUAGGAACUCCACUGGCAGAAAGCCAGUGUGGUGGCCCUGCCCCACUGUGCUUAUCUCCGCCUCUGAAGAAAUUUGACAAGGUAACUCUGUUCAGCUUGUGUGUUGGUAGAAAUCUCCCCCCUCUCCUGCCAAUACCUUCAGUCCCAGGCCCCUUCAGCCACUUCUGCUUCUUUAGUAGUCAUAAACUGCUGUUUAGAUUCCCUGUAAACCACUUGGAGCAUAAAUCUAUCAGUGGGAAACAUGGUAUAUAAGUAAACUGACUAUGUCUAUACAAAUUAGCUUCCCCCUGGUCCACAUCCUGGUCAAACAAGGCAGAGCACAAGAUUAUUUAAUCCUUUUGUAUCACAAAGGUCUAAGUAGGCUUAAAUCCAAGCACUUCAUUUUAAAUGUGCUGCUGAUCUGGCUGCGAGAUUAUCAAAUCAUGUACUCCAAAGCGGUUCUACUUAAACCAAUUGACUUUCUUCGAAGUAAGUGUUUCAGGAUUAAAGCCAUGAUCAUAUCAUGUCCUCUUUCUCUCUCGAAAGUGAUUAGAAACACAGUAUGCUGUUUUACAAGAUGAAAAGUUAAGUGUCAUUGCACGCUUAAAAUAGAGCUUUAAUUCCAUUGCAGUAUUUCUCAUUUUAAUUGUUAAUUUAAACCUUACUAGGACAAGUAAAUGGAUACAAAUGCAUAAUUCAUUUGUUUGAAGUGUGCUCUUUAAUAAUGCAGCAUUCAAAUGAUGAUACAUUAAUCUGUCUUGCAGGGAAAAGUAAAAAAAACAAAAACAAAACAGCAAAUGAGCUCAUUUUGCAUUUUCUGUAAUUGCGUAUUAUGAAUGGAAUUGAUAAUUAAAGGUGUGGGGCUAUCCAGAGAGGAAGGAAUUCAAACUGUUUGGAAACAUUUUUUUUCAGUGUCUUUGAAGCAAAAACAAAUGCAACAAAAUUAAAAUGGCAUGUAACUCCCCUGUUAUUUAGUGGGGUUAUUUCCCAAAUAAGUGUGCAUACUAAAGGUGAAAUGAGUUUGAACCCAGUUUCCCCCACUUCAAAAAUCCCUUGACAUGUUUUCUGGGGGAUUAGCAGUAAAUCAUCAAGAGGUUCUUGACUGCAUGAGAAGAGCAACAACUAAAAGCCCCAAGAAAACUUGGGGGGGGGGGAGGCAGAAGUGGAUUUUUCUGUAAAAGGACUGUAAAUUUUGAUCCUUAAACAAAAAACAAAUUCCUGGGUCUGAGCAUGAUCUGAACGGCACUCUGUUCCUUAAUGUUAAGUGUAUGGGCGUUACGUGUUAAGAUCACCAAAACUGCCUAGAAAUAAAUUCACACAUGACUCAAAUUUUAGUUUGAGGUUUGGCACAAUUUUGGCCACAACUUUAUUGAUUACAGACUGUGAUUGGUUUGCUUAGGUAUUGGUUCAGACUAUCUGAACCUGUCCCAGUCAGUCUAGGACAGGAACAGAACUGACAACUGUGAGUUGCAGAGACCAGUCAAGGUCAGCACCCCGGGAGAUCAAUUGGGAUGAGUGCAGAUCCCUAAGAUCAUACCCAGAAUGCUCCCAGGGGCUCUUGCGCAGCCCUAUCCUCCUUUCAGGGGUCGGACAAAUGCAUGGCAAGCCCCUGGAUUCCUUUAAUGGAAUACCUACGCAGCAACCAUUGGAGGGACAGGUCACAGUCACGCCUCGUCCCCUCCACACACAUUAACCAAUGCCUAACCGCAAACUUUACAAUUUGCUACACAGUAGGCAAAACCCAGAAGGCACCAGCCAAUCAGCCAAGUGGGAAAAAUUCCUACCAGGCCCCUGCCCCCAAAGCAGACGACCCACAGCGGUAUAGCAGGGUCAACACGGACCCUAAAUAUAGAGAGGGUGGAUGGAUGGGUGGAUGAAGCAAAACAGAGGAAUCUCAACGCAAUGUGCAGCGGUAUAUAUCUGUCCCUCGGAAGCAAUUUCUGCAACCCCAUUGGCCGGAACAAGUCCCAUGCUUCCAAGGGACCAAUCGGGUAGCUGUGGCAAUCCAAACUUACCCACCCCAGCAACAGAUAGUCAGUUGUGGCGACCUCACUGCGACACGUGCUCUCUGGGAGGAGAACCCGAUUUCUUCAACUGAGCAGACUUAUUGAAAUUAAUGAACACGACCACUUGCACCCACCACACCCCCUUCCUCCACCCCUGUCUCUGGGCCACCUCUGGUCCCUUUGCAGUCCAAGCAUGGCUGAAUGACUUGUAUGAGGAAGCAUCUCCUGACGUAUUAAGCAAGUCCUCCUGAAGAGGUUCAGUUAAGGAUUGCUUUGAUCAGGUGGAUUUUGGUAAGGGAAGAUUUCGUUUUAUUUAUUCCACAAUAUAUAGACCACUUUCCUGACAAACAAGUGCCCCCCCAAAGAUCAUAGCAGUAUCCCAUUAAAACCUAACACAGCUAUUGAACUCAAUAGGGGGUGUUCUGAAUAGUCAUGUAUUGGCCUACACUGUCGGUUGCUCAGAUUCCAAUUCCUUCCAGGCUAUAUCACACUUUCCCAUUGUGAUCACCCUUUCUUCUAGGAAAAUACCUUUGCAAUGCCUCUGCGAGGGCUGCUGGCCAUUUUCACAAUCUUCACAGCUCCACCAAGUUUAAGGCUGUUGUUUAAGAGCCUAUGGGAUUCACACGGAAUUGGGGAAUGGAGCCGCUGAGAUCCAGAGAAAGGGAGAGGGAGAAAAUACUGCAAGGCAACCUCCCUGGCACUGAAAACUUCCAGACUUACUAGCCCUGCCACAUUUGAUUUACUUGGUGACAUGAACAUAAAGCAGAGUUACUGUGCCUUUUGCUGCGGACCACCAUUCCUUCUUCUGUUCUGCACUACAGCC
This is a non-coding RNA of Podarcis lilfordi (Lilford's wall lizard), 13700 nucleotides long. The record is from the annotation of a GenBank genome assembly. NCBI's taxonomy places the organism in Eukaryota, Metazoa, Chordata, Lepidosauria, Squamata, Lacertidae.